RNAcentral lists this ribosomal RNA (376 nucleotides) under uncultured bacterium. RNAcentral's name for it is "bacterial SSU rRNA". It matches the Rfam family "Bacterial small subunit ribosomal RNA", at positions 29 to 417 of the family's 1533-position model. The record is from RNAcentral.
AACGAACGCUGGCGGCAGGCCUAACACAUGCAAGUCGAACGCCGUAGCAAUACGGAGUGGCAGACGGGUGAGUAACGCGUGGGAACAUACCCCUCGGUUCGGAAUAACUCAGGGAAACUUGAGCUAAUACCGGAUACGUCCGAGGUUUUGAUCGACCUUGGAGAAAGAUUUAUCGCCGAAGGAUUGGCCCGCGUCUGAUUAGCUUGGUUGGUGAGGUAAUGGCUCACCAAGGCGACGAUCAGUAGCUGGUCUGAGAGGAUGAUCAGCCACAUUGGGACUGAGACACGGCCCAACUCCUACGGGAGGCAGCAGUGGGGAAUAUUGGACAAUGGGCGAAAGCCUGAAUCCAGCCAUGCCGCGUGAGGGAUGGAAGGCC